CGGGACGUAGCGCAGCUUGGUAGCGCACCUGAUUUGGGAUCAGGUGGUCGCAGGUUCAAAUCCUGUCGUCCCGACCA
Molecule: transfer RNA, 77 nt
Filed under: Candidatus Formimonas warabiya
Lineage: Bacteria; Bacillati; Bacillota; Clostridia; Eubacteriales; Peptococcaceae
Also listed under: 4 other names
Description: Peptococcaceae bacterium DCMF tRNA-Pro
Rfam family: tRNA
About the family: Transfer RNA (tRNA) molecules are approximately 80 nucleotides in length.
Source: RNAcentral